CCAAUAUCGGAAGCCAGAACAAACAAUAUCCCAGCCAGCGUAUGGGGAAGACUCAGCGGCGGGAAAUUCAAAGAAAA
Long non-coding RNA from Juglans regia (Persian walnut), 77 nucleotides. RefSeq lists it as uncharacterized. Lineage: Eukaryota; Viridiplantae; Streptophyta; Magnoliopsida; Fagales; Juglandaceae. The transcript has 2 exons. The record is from RefSeq and is a predicted model, not a curated record.